AUAUCACCAGAAAUCAACUCUAUUGAACAAAAAAAGGUACUUAUGAUAUUCCAUCAUCAUCAUCAUAGGCUAAAACACAUUUCUGCAAUUCAACGGCUACACGCACCUUAAUCAGUUCCCAAUUCUUGUUCGUAUCUUCUCAAUACUCAAAGACAGGUGGUUGUGGAAAUGGUGGGGUGUUUUGCUGCAACACCCAAGAAUCUGGCAAUGGCCAUUGCAUGUUCCCUCUCUGGUGCUGUUCUUUUAGCUGUUGGAGCACACAUUUCUUAUGUCAAUGUUGAACCCCAACGAGCGCGGACCUUGGCUCGCGAUAAGUUGGUCUUAGAUACGUUAAGGAAGAAGUAUGGUUACAUCCCUCCAUCAGAGGUCCGGCGUAUGGCUCGCAACGACUCCAAUAAGGAGCACAAUUAAAUGGGACCUCGGGAUUGAUAAUUACAUAUGGGUGUGCUGCUACUUGCUGAAAGAUUUGGUUUUUCAUUCUGGCUCCUCUGUAUUCCUUUCACUUAUUGAUUCCUAAAAUAGUGAAUGAUGAAUAAAUGGUUAUUGCUAAUGUUCGCAGCCAUAAUUUAAAUGUUCCUAGUUGUUGUGCCUUCAUCCGAGUUUUUGCAAUGUGUAUAGUUGCUAUAGUUGCACUCAUUGUUAUCAAAAUGUGUGUUAUAGGGUUGGUCUGUUUUACAGAUUUUUCUUUGGUAAUGAAGUAGUUGCAUUGAUAUUGAAACCAUCAAAUUGUUGAUUGAACUUUUCUUAUGAAAUAUCUCAUCAAUUGACUAACUCCUCCAUUUCAUUGUUGUUGAA
Molecule: long non-coding RNA, 795 nt
Organism: Medicago truncatula (barrel medic)
Lineage: Eukaryota; Viridiplantae; Streptophyta; Magnoliopsida; Fabales; Fabaceae
Exons: 2
Source: RefSeq, a predicted model, not a curated record